Molecule: non-coding RNA, 99 nt
Organism: Triticum aestivum (bread wheat)
Lineage: Eukaryota; Viridiplantae; Streptophyta; Magnoliopsida; Poales; Poaceae
Source: Rfam
AUGGAUGUGAGGACCCUUUCCCCAAAUGAUCGACUAUGAUUAUACUAUGCGCAUCUGUAAUCCUUUAUCAGAGGAUUCCAAGCCAGAAGUCUGAUCCAU